UAUGCUUCAGACUCUGUGUCCCUCAUUGA
This 29-nucleotide non-coding RNA is filed under the name Mus musculus (house mouse). Lineage: Eukaryota; Metazoa; Chordata; Mammalia; Rodentia; Muridae. The record is from RNAcentral.